Molecule: unclassified non-coding RNA, 223 nt
Filed under: plant metagenome
Description: partial contains small subunit ribosomal RNA and internal transcribed spacer 1
Rfam family: Eukaryotic small subunit ribosomal RNA (bases 1-46)
Source: RNAcentral
AAGUCGUAACAAGGUUUCCGUAGGUGAACCUGCGGAAGGAUCAUUACCAAGAGAAAUCUUUCAACACUGAAAGAUCUUUUCCCUUUGUGCUGGCUUUGACCGUAUGUAAUUUUGGGACUUUAAAACUGGUUCGCAAGGGCCGGUCCCAAAAACCAAUAUAUCAUCCUUAUGAAAUUUUUUCUGAACAAUUAAACAAAUGAUUUUAAUAAUCUGUUUAAAACAA